This 497-nucleotide ribosomal RNA is filed under the name uncultured bacterium. Its description in RNAcentral is "partial 16S ribosomal RNA". It matches the Rfam family "Bacterial small subunit ribosomal RNA", at positions 28 to 507 of the family's 1533-position model. The record is from RNAcentral.
GAUGAACGCUGGCGGCGUGCCUAAUACAUGUAAGUCGAGCGAACGGACGCGAAGCUUGCUUUUCUGAUGUUAGCGGCGGACGGGUGAAUAACACGUGGAUAACCUACCUAUAAGACUGGGAUAACUUCGGAAAACCGGAGCUAAUCCCGGAUAAUAUUUUGAACCGCAUGGUUCAAAAGUGAAAGACGGUCUUUCUGUCACUUAUAGAUGGAUCCGCGCUGCAUUAGCUGGUUGGUAAGGUAACGGCUUACAAAGGCAACGAUGCAUAGCCGAACUGAGAGGGGGAUAGGCCACCCGGGAACUGAGACAGGGUCCAGACUCCUGCGGGAGGCAGCAGUAGGGAAUCGGCCGCAAUGGGCGAGAGCCUGACGGAGCAACGCCGCGUGAGAGAUGAAGGUCUUCGGAUCGUAAAACUCGGUUAUUAGGGAAGAACAUAUGUGUAAGUAAAUGUGCACAGCUUGACGGUACCUAAUCAGAAAGCCACGGCUAACUACGUG